Molecule: long non-coding RNA, 1865 nt
Organism: Gavialis gangeticus (Gharial)
Lineage: Eukaryota; Metazoa; Chordata; Crocodylia; Gavialidae
Exons: 3
Source: RefSeq, a predicted model, not a curated record
CUCACUGGCUUGGUUUUGAUAAGACAGCCCUCUUCCAGGCAGCCACCACUGGCAAAGAGGACAGGUUUCCCCACCAGAUCCCCUUUGUAAGCAGCCAGAACAAUCUCAUGCCAGGCUGGCCCCAGGAGAGCAGGAUGCACCCACAUAUGUUGGAUGCAGCAAGAGGAAUCAACCCAGAGCCCUCUCCGGAGUCUACAGGCAUCAUCCCAGUGGUGUGGGGGCAGAUCGGCCGAGCUCAGGCUGGGCCAUUCAGGGGAGAUGCAAAGAGCAGAAGCCCAGACCCGUGCAGCUAUAGGAUGAUCCCCAUGGGUUUCCCCAGUCCUGACUCCUCACCUGGUGAUGCACAUGUGUAUGGGGGUACCUGUUUUCUGCAGAAUUUGCUCUCACGCUGCCUCAUUAGCUGGCUCAAAUGGAGACACCACAAGGGACCCCAGGGCUGAGCAGGGGACACAGCUGCUGGGGCUAGAGGGAGGCUGCUGGGUUUCAUCAGGGACUAGCCCCUCUUUGCUCUGGGGCUGGGUAGUGAAUGAGCUCUAGGCAUGUCCCCAGCACCCUGCUCCGUGGGCCACAUGAUCCCAUUGGCAUUUGCAGCUCUCUGUGGCUGCAGGCGGCAGUGUCACCCACAGGGAUGGUGCAGUGACACCGUGGAGAGGGGGAGCUUUGCUUCAGGUAGGACUCAGGCCCAGGCUGGGGGAGAUGAUGGGCUCUGGCUGCCUGAGAGAGGGCAGGAGCCAGAGCCGGCCAAUGCCCUGGGCCUUGCUGGAAAGUAGGUGCCUUUCUUGUCCAAUUGCCUGGGUCUCAACAGUGGGCAUCUCUUUGGCCCAAAACUACUAUUGAGGUUUUAAUUACCAGGUGUGUCAUUGUUUCCCUGCAAAACUGAGCUCAGGGCCUGUGCCUUGCUGGGAGCUGAGUGGAGCCCUGUAAGCCAGUGCCUGGCAGGGUGGAGGUGCACCUUCUAGGUUAACUGAAUCAGAGACGUGUAAGCUUGACCCAGGUAGAGAGCUGGCGCAGGCAAAGGAAAAAGGAAGCAUCGAUGGUGGGGGUGCUGGGGCUCUCAAGCGUGAAGGCAAAGCAAAAGCUUCUCCAGUGCACGCCCCCCCUGCCCCCGCUCACCGCAAUCGAUGCCGCCUGGCAGGGAGUAGAGCCAGCAUCCCCGCUAUUAAUUUAGAAACCUCCCUGGGGACGGGAAACUUUACCCGGCCCUCGUUAGUCUGCACAAACACCCCCUCCCUCCCCUUGCGCCGAAGACAGGGAUGGCCGUCCCUGGCGAGACACCAGGUGAUGGGGAGCGGCCACAGUAGGACAGCGCAGCCGGCUCCUGCCAGUGCAUGGAGCUCACAGGGCUGCGGAGAGCAUGGGGGCCUGGGGGCCUGCCACAGGUUCUUGCCAUGACCAUGGGCAUGUCCCUUAGCCCCUGUACUAGAAAGGCCGCCUCCCAGGCACUGGUAUGGCUCCCACCUGCAUCCUAUCCCUUUUUUCUGCUUUCCCAGGACAAGGCUAAGGCUGUGGUGUCCAAAACCGCUUGGACCAGGCACAUUUCUAGACACCCUGCUCCCUCCUGGUUCUGGAGGGGUUCUAGAGUGGAAACCCAAGUCAGACUUGGCCUGGCCCCCCAACCCAGGGUGGCUCUGCCCCUGCCUCUCUCCCUCUGGGUUCCCAAUCUCUCCCUCCAUCCUGUCGUCCAUCCAUCCUGCAGGGCCGUUGCUCUGUCCUGGGUGUUAUGGAGGGGCCUGUUGUAUGCAGGGACAGUCCAAGGCCAGCCCAUUUCAUCCGACUCGAGCCUCUUGCUUCACCUGGUUUUAUACCCGGUAAUUAAAACCUCAUCCAGCCCAGUUCCUGCCUAUGCGGCCAUUGUCCUCAGUUGG